Helianthus annuus (common sunflower) is the source of this 178-nucleotide long non-coding RNA. RefSeq lists it as uncharacterized. NCBI's taxonomy places the organism in Eukaryota, Viridiplantae, Streptophyta, Magnoliopsida, Asterales, Asteraceae. The record is from RefSeq and is a predicted model, not a curated record. The transcript is spliced from 2 exons.
AGCUCAAGGAGUAUAUUGAUGACACCGAAGAUCUGAUCAACAUUAAACUUGGUAAUGUCCAGAAUAAGCUGAUUAAGUUCGAGCUGCUUUUGACGGCGGCUACUUUUUUGGCAACCGUAUUCGCAGUAGUGACAACUGUAUUCGGAAUGAACUUUGAAGAUGAAGUUUUCGAUGAACC